UGGGGAAUAUUGCGCAAUGGGGGCAACCCUGACGCAGCAACGCCGCGUGCGGGAUGAAGGCCUUCGGGUUGUAAACCGCUUUCAGCAGGGAGGAUAGUGACAGUACCUGCACAAGAAGCCCCGGCUAACUACGUGCCAGCAGCCGCGGUAACACGUAGGGGGCGAGCGUUAUCCGGAUUCAUUGGGCGUAAAGCGCGCGCAGGCGGCCGCCUAAGCGGGACCUCUAAUCCCGGGGCUCAACCCCGGGCCGGGUCCCGAACUGGGCGGCUCGGGUGCGGUAGAGGAGGGCGGAAUUCCCGGUGUAGCGGUGGAAUGCGCAGAUAUCGGGAAGAACACCGAUGGCGAAGGCAGCCCUCUGGGCCGUCACCGACGCUGAGGCGCGAAAGCUAGGGGAGCGAACAGG
Molecule: ribosomal RNA, 403 nt
Filed under: uncultured prokaryote
Also listed under: 1 other name
Description: bacterial SSU rRNA
Rfam family: Bacterial small subunit ribosomal RNA
Source: RNAcentral